This 7689-nucleotide long non-coding RNA is filed under the name Podarcis lilfordi (Lilford's wall lizard). The record is from RNAcentral. Lineage: Eukaryota; Metazoa; Chordata; Lepidosauria; Squamata; Lacertidae.
GAUUGAACCCAGAUAAGACCUAAGUGCCAUGUCAAUGGCCCCAAGAAAAAGGGAAGCUGUUCAUAGGCAAUAAUGUAGUGGGGUGAACAUUUUGCUCCUGGCAUGGCUUUCACCCAUAUAGAACUGCUUUCAAUUGUGAGCAAAGAGGGGGUUAAAGGAAUCAAUCUGGAAGUAGGAAAAGCUUUUCAGGUAUUAGGGAGAAGAGAGAAGCUUCAUGAGAUUCUUUACUGGACUCCAUCUUACCUUCAUCUCCUUCACAUAAACAGUUUUGUUUCCUGUUGCCUAAUCUGAUUGAUACUUGGGUUCUCAGCUGCAUAUUAUUCCAUCAACUGUAUAUUAUGCCCAUUUGCUGCAAAAUACAAGCCAAAUGAACUCCCUCAGAUUGUGGUGGACUCUCCUUCAUUGGAGGUUUUUAAGCAGAGGUUGGAUAGCUAUCUGUCUUGGAUGCUUUAUCUGAGAUCCCUGCAUUGCAGGGAGUUGGGCCUUCCAACUCCACAAUUCUCUGAUUCUGUGUUUCAAACAGAACUUUGCUCUGCCUGCAACUUCCUCCAGUAACAAGAUGCCCUCCUGUUUCUGGGACUGUUCAAGAAGAGGUAGCAUUUCCUGUCAAGUUUCACCCCUUGCAAAUCAUUUUUGGAAAUGAAAUAUCAGGUAUUGUUCUAGAAACAAAAUGCCAAUGAAACACUGACGAUAAUAUAUAGAGGGAUUUAAAAAAAAUGAUUAUUUCUGCUUCUUUUUCCUUUCUUUUCUAUGAGUCGAGUUCAAUAGAAUAUAUAGAUUAAUUGAGACUUCCAGGUCAGCACCAACGACGAAUGGCGGAGUUCCUCCGAUCGGAGGAACGGGCUGUGUGGAAAUUGGGUCUUCCCGCCGCGGCGAAGGUGAGGGCCCGCUAGAAAUCCCAGGCGGAGAAGCCUGGGAACGUGGGGUUCGGCAGAGCACCAAGAGAGCCUCCCCUACUCACGAGGAAACCCUUUUUGGGGCACCGGAGUGAAGUGGGGUGAGCAGCGCGGUGCUGCGAACCGAUCGCUAUUUCCAUGGAGGGAAGCCACGCAGCCAUCGCCGGAGAGCGCUGACUUUUUCCUGAUGACAUUUGGACUCUAAAUCAAGCACCCGUGAGUAAAAACGGAGAAUUGGAUUAAGAAACCUGCAAAAUUUAUGAAUUAGGCACGAAGCGGGAAGGUGUAAACAGGAAGUCCGCCUUCCGUUUUUGUAUAUAGAUUGAAGCAAAGACCUUGCAACCUAAUAGCCUGAAAAACUGCUUUAAAGUUGGAAAUUUCCUGCAUCCAUAACCAAUAAAACCCCCUUAGAAGCAGGAGAAAAGGGGGGGGAUUUGACUGUUUAAUCCUGCAGGAGGAGAGUAAAGGAAUUCAAACCUGGGGAUGGAGUGUCGGGACAGAAGCUGUUUGAGACGUCCAUUGAUUGAAAGUGGAGCACUUUGACAGAUAGUAAAAAAGAAAAGAAAAAGAGAAACAAAUUAACUUCAACGCUACUUUCUGCAUUUCUGCUUUUUAAAGAAACAAAGUAUUUGAAAUCGAAAGGAAUUGAAAUCGAAAGUAAUCUCCUUUGUUGGAUAUAUUUUAAAAAUGGAUACAAUUAGAAAUUGUGUUCCCUUGAGUGAGCCCGUCAGUUUGUUGUUGCAGCUUACUUGGAGACUCUGCAGAUGUGAGAUUUGGAUCGUGGGACCAGCCGUUUGACCUUGACUUUGAACAGAAAUGUGUUGGCAGGAAGGUUUGGUGUCUGCCCUUGGCAUGACUAAUGCUUUGCUGGAGCAGCUGCAUGAGAAAAUGAACUUGAUGCAUGAAAAAUUGGACCUGAUGAGUGCUGUGGCCAGUGAAUAUGAUUUAACAGGGAAUAAGGAUAAAGAAGUUAUACAGCGAUCAAUUCAGGAACCUGGUUUGACAAGGCAAGUCCAAGGGCAGAUGGAGAAAGAAGAGGCAGUGAUUACUCCUCAAACAACACAAAUGGAAAGAUCCAAAGUCCUGCAGGAACAAAAGCUACUGCGUUGGAAGAUUGAACUUGGAGACUGCCGGGAAGUAUUUGAAGUCAAGGAAGCUUUUAACUCUAGUGGGACUAUGAAACAGGUGAACAACUAUCUUCUGGAUAAAUAUUUUUUGGAUUACAAAGAUGAAGACGGGGAGUGGGACUGGGGGGAAGGGGCCAAUCUGAUGAAGGAAAAUGGAAACUAUUACCGGAUGGAACCCUCCGGAGACCCACUCCCCAGAAACCAACAAUUGACAAAGAAGUGCGCAAGCACAAACAGGAACAAAAAAAUUUGCAGAAGGGGCCUAGAAGAGAUUUAAGGGCCUCGGACAUUAGAACACCAGAUUGAUGGACUGGAUGUAAUGGACAGAAAGGACUGACAUGACCCGAAACCAGGAAGAAGGGACGUUGGAUAAAAAUUAGAGAUAUCAAGGGAAAUUCUUUUGUUAAUUUUGGAAUUAGUGCAACAUUAAUGAAAUUUGAGGGAAUGUGCUGGAAAGGAAUUAAAUUGGCUUUAGUAGAAAUGAUUUUAAGGAGAUAUGUAUGAAUAUGAUGUAAAUUUUGAAAAUUUAAGAUUUUUAAGAUAAGAUAAGGUUAAAGAGAUUAAGGUAAAUUGAAUAACAGACUAUAUUAAAAGAUGGAAAGGUUAUCUUGAUUAAUAAAUAAGAGAGAUUGUGAAGAUUAAUCAUUUAAAUUAAAAUUGAGAAACAUGGGAAGAAUUUGCUGAAAUAACGAAUUAAACUAGAAUACAAAAAGGGAGGUGUGAGGAGGUUCAAGAAUUAAGCAAAUGAAAAGUUGCAAUCUGAGAUUUGUAUCUUUCUUCUUUCUUUUUUGGGUUUUUUUCCUCUUGUUCUAUUUUUUGCUGUAUAUUUUUCCUCUUUUUUCUUUUUCCCCCCUCUGUGUUUCUUGUUUUUCUUUUUGUGUUUAUGUAUUGAUGAAAUUUUGAAUAAAUAUAAUUCAAAAUAUAUAUAUAUAGAUAGAUUAAUUGAAUAAACAAAGAGACAAAAAUAGUUUUGUUUUCCUAUAAGGGCAAAAGACCCCGCUUUCAUUUUUGUCUCAAUUUGUAGCAAUUUUACAAAAUUACUAUUUUAAUCAGUAGAGAUCUGUCAAGUGCCACACUGGGCAAGUUCUCAUGUAUCAAAGGAGAUGCAGCUGGAACGGAAACAGAUGAAAGGUGUAAAUGAGAAGAUUCAAUUAACAUUUCCCCCCCACCAGCACCAUUUCAGAAAGAAAAGAAAAAACAAAUCUUCUGGGAUUGAGGCUGAUCCUUUAAUUUAAUUACACUUUAAGAUCUGUUGUUGUCUUAAGAAAACCAUUCUAACAUUCACAAUUAAAUGCUUUAACGUACCAUCAGUAUGUUUUUGGUGUAUGUUUUCUUUUUGCUUGAAGAUGUUCUAUAGAAACCGAUCAAAAGCUAACAAAUCCAUUAAAUUAUAGUAUGUUAAGUAGUCACAUAAAUAUUCUGGUUUCAAAAAGCAGAAGCCCCACACACAGCCACAAGCACUGUGCAGUUCAGAAAAAAAUAAUAUAGGGCUAAGUGGACCCCUCUUCCUUCUCUUUUCCCUCAAGGUGUGGCUUCAGGUAUAUGGCCAUUGUCAUAUACGAGCCCAUAUUCAGUGGGAGGCCAGUGCAUUUGUACAUCGCUCCUCCCUAGAGCUAUUAUAAGUAGAAGAAGAGUUUGGAUUUGAUAUCCCGCUUUAUCACUACCCAAAGGAGUCUCAAAGUGGCUAACAGUCUUCUUUCCCUUCCUCCCCCACAACAAACACUCUGUGAGGUGAGUGGUGCUGAGAGACUUCAAAGAAGUGUGACUGGCCCAAGGUCACCCAGCAGCUGCAUGUGGAGGUGCGGAGAUGCGAACCCGGUUCACCAGAUUACAAGUCUAUCACUCUUAACCACUACACCACACUCUGUCCCACAAUCUCUCAGUCCUCCACCCAGGCAAACCAGGUCAUUGCCACAGCUCAGUGUUGGCUAUUUGCAGUGUAGUAGCGCUGCAGAGAGCUUGCUGGGGAGACCAUGCAUUAAAAAGGGACUCAAAAAUAACUUAAACAAGGUUUUAAUAACAAAACCAAAAACUCCUUAUACACUAAAUACAGAGUCUACCACUCUUAACCACUACACCACACUGGCUCCACUGUAUCCAUUUGUCUGUUUGUAUGGGAGGAAGGUAGAUCAUGCUUCAUGUAUAUCAAAGACUGUGGACAUCCAGUAAUUUUACUCAGAAGUGUUCAUUGGUGAAGCUUAACAGAAUUCUCUAUUAAUCGCAAAGCUGAAGCAUAAUGUGCACAGCUGCACAGCUGAAAUGCUCCAAAGUGUAGAAACCCCAAACCCAACAAAUUCUGCUCUCUCCCCACCCCCACCUUCCAUGCCAAUCAGAAUGGUGCUUCAAGCAAAUGUCAGCGUUAAGUUGUGGGUGAACAUAUCAGAUGACACAGCGAUUCUUCAAACAGCUCUUGUUUAUUCACAAGCCAGAACAGAACUGAACUGAAGGGUUCAGCCAGCCUGCUUAUAUAGAGCUCCACUAGAACGCAACAGUAACCAUUUUCUGUACCUAUCCAAUCACGGAACGUCACUUUCGAUCCCUUAUUUGCAUAUGUGGACCUGAGUGAAAACUAUCUACAGUAUCCCCCUGCUGGUCCAGGGUGAGAGCUCCAGUACAUAACAAUCAGAAUGUUUCCAUGGUGCAAAGUUCAAAAGGAUGGCAUGGCAUCUCUAAUCCAUCAUCCCCAUUCUUUAGUUGUCGAUCAUAUGCUCUGAGCCCUAUUUACAUAUAUGGGGGUGGAACCAGGAAUGACAACCAGAGCAGAAGACUUUCUGCCAGAAACUUUGGGCCCAUUCUGCUUCUUCUAUAAAGAAGACUGGAACAGAAGAGACCUGAUCUUCCCUUCUUUCUAUUGUCUUCUCCUAUAUGGGGAGACAAGCAGGAAAUGGAGGCCUAGUUGCCAUAAUUUGCCCCUCAAGAUUCUUUGUUCUUUUAAAUCUCUGGAUUAAGACGUUAGAUAGAAAAGGUGACUUAGUUCUUUAGAACAGAUGUGAGGGACUUUUGGCCCUCUGGAUGUUGAACCACAACUCUUGGCAAUUGGUCAUGCUUUCUGGGGCUGAUGAGUGGUGUACUACAACUGGAGGGGCAAAGCUUCCCUGCACCUGUUCUAGAUUCAAGGGCAGGUUAGUGAGCACAGAUGUGUUAGCUGCUGAAGCAUAAAAUCCCAGCUGCAUCCGGGCCUGGCAAGGGCAGCCUGGCCUGCACCACCAGCAGCUCCCCCUUCACAGGCUCCGGCUCAGUAGCUUUCUUUUGCGCGAAAGACGUGUGUCAUUUAGUGCCGAGUUCUCCUAGGAGCCAGCUGAUUCAUGCAAGAGUUCAGCACCAAAAAUAGGACAUCCAAUCAGAAGCCAGUAUGGAUUCCGUAAUUCCAGGAUGUCCCAGUCAAGUUGGGACUGUUGAUGGGUGUGCAUCUCUCCUAUGAGGACAGGUUGCAACCUUUAGAGCUUUUUUUAAAAAAAUAUUAAAAAGGUAAAGAACCCCUGACAGUUAAGUCCAGUUGCGAACGACUCUGGGGUUGCGGCGUUCAUCUCGCUUUACUGGCCGAGGGAGCUAGUGUACAGCUUCCGGGUCAUGUGGCCAGCAUGACUAAGCCCCUUCUGGCGAAACCAGAGCAGCACACGGAAACGCCGUUUACCUUCCCGCCAGAGCAGUACUUAUUUAUCUACUUGCACUUUGAUGUGCUUUCGAACUGCUAGGUUGGCAGGAGCUGGGACCGAGCAACAGGAGCUCACCCCAUCGCAGGGAUUCGAACCGCCGAACUUCCGAUCAGCAAGCCCUAGGCUCAGUGGUUUAACCCACAGCGCCACCACUUUUUACUUUAUAAAAAAGGCCAAUGGAGUUGAUGGUGGGGUAUAUAAGAUUAAGCAUGGUAUAGCAAAAAUGGAUAGGGAGAAAAUAUUCUCCCUCUCUCAGUACUAGAACUUGGGAACAUCCCAUGAAGCUGAAUGGUAGGAGAUUCAGAAUUGACAAAAAGAAGUACUUACAGCCUAAUGUUAAACUAUGGAAUUUGUUAGAAAUAAGGAUUUACAAAUGCAACUCAACCUGUUCCAACAUUCAUUUGUGCUUUCAUCUUGUAUUUUCUGUUCUGCUACAGUUGGUUUAUCUUUCUUUUGUUUCACCAUCUAUUGAUUCAGAAAUAUACUUAUUUUAAUGUAUAUCACAGCAGACAAUAUAUGUGCAUAUCUCAAUCAACAACAGACAUUUUAAAAAAUCAUUUAGCUUUCCAAGUUGAUGAAUUUCCAGAGGGGUGGCUGGUAGUCUCUUUAGCAAAAAUAAUAGUCUUGCGGCACCUUGAAGUGAUUUUAAGGGUAGAAUGUCAAACCCUUCACCUAUAUAUAUAAUUUUUCUGAAGAUCACGUUUUCCUGGUGCUCAUUCAUUUUCUUUGACCUGCUCCUGUCAACUCUUGAUUUACAAUAUUCAGUUCAGUUGUUCAUUCCACCUGUUCUAGUUCACUUCUGUUUCAAUAUACUGUAAUUGGCUGUACAACAUCCAGAAAUACUUUACUAGAACAAUGGUUAAAUUUUAAAAAAGGUAAAGGACCCCUGGAUGGUUAAGUCCAGUCAAAGGCGACUAUGGGGUUGCGGCGCUUGUCUCGCUUUCAGACCAAGGGAGCCCGCAUUUGUCUACAGAAAGCUUUCUGGGUCAUGUGGCCAGAAUAACUAAACCACUUCUGGCACAACAGAACACUGCCACAGAACACUGCCACCUAUUUAUCUACUUACACUGGCAUGCUUUCGAACUGCUAGGUUGGCAGGAGCUGAGACAGAGCAACAGGCGCUCACCCCAUCAUGCAGAUUUGAACCACUGACCUUCUGAUAGACAAGCGCAAGAGGCUCAGUGGUUUAGACCACAUCUACGCAUCUUACUGCAUUAUAUCUGAGAGAUAAUCAGCAUAACUUGUUCGGGAGGUGCGAGGACCCAUUAGACACAGAAGAGUGUUCUCACAGGAAUUACAAUAUCUCUCUUACAGUGCUUCUUCACUGUCAAGGAAAUAGAGAUGUUGGUUAGUUGUGUAUAAGGAUUGGAAGUAUGACUCUUACACCCUAACAGAGAUGGUAUAUUCCACUUUGGAGGGGGAAUCUUGCCAUCCUUUUGCGACUAUUUUCCAAAAGGUGACUGAGUCUCUCCUUCGAGAGGCCUUCAUUAAACAUUGCCACUCUCCCUCUGGGGCCUGAAGCUUUUUCUUUUUAAGCAAAGCUUUAUAAUUUCGUUUAGCUUCAAACAACUCUGCAGGGAGUGAGGGUAGAUUGGCAGACCUAUAGUUUCUGUAUUUUCCCAACAAAGAGCGCUUCAUAGCAAGGCAUUCCUAAUCGAACCAGGGUUUAGAUUUGUUGUAUAAUGGCCGCCGCGUUGCCUUUUUUUGUGUCAAAUAGGGUUGAAGAAGUGAAAUCAAAUCCUGAAACAAGUUUAUUCUCGUUUCAGAGCAUGAGGAGUUUAAGAGGUUGUCUCUCCUAAUGAGGAAUAUAUCUGAGUGAGUGCUUGCUGCCUUGUUCACCAGCAUAGAUCAAUCGGCUACCAUCCCAGAGGAUUGGGGACUAGCAAUCAUCAUCCCAAUAUACAAGAAAGGGAGCAGAUCGGACCCUGCUAAUUACAGGCCAAUUAGUCUCCCAAGCAUUAUCAGUAAACUAUAUGCUGGCCACUUAUGUAAUAAACUUGAGGAAAUAGA